UACGGAGGGUGCAAGCGUUGUUCGGAAUCACUGGGCGUAAAGCGCGUGUAGGCGGUGACGCAAGUCGGGUGUGAAAGCCCUGGGCUCAACCCAGGAACUGCGCUCGAAACUGCGCCGCUAGAGUACGGGAGAGGGAUGUGGAAUUCCUGGUGUAGAGGUGAAAUUCGUAGAGAUCAGGAGGAACACCCGUGGCGAAGGCGACAUCCUGGACCGAUACUGACGCUGAGACGCGAAAGCGUGGGGAGCAAACAGG
This 253-nucleotide ribosomal RNA is filed under the name uncultured bacterium. Its description in RNAcentral is "partial 16S ribosomal RNA". It matches the Rfam family "Bacterial small subunit ribosomal RNA", at positions 524 to 776 of the family's 1533-position model. The record is from RNAcentral.